AAACUAGGUCCGCCUUGUCUUCAAGCAACAGGUUCAGCAAGUAGCUCCUUCUGAGGUCUAGUAAGCACUGAGGAUCUGAAGUGAAACCUUCCAGAAGGCAUUGCUGUUGGUACUGAGCAGAUCUCAGCAUCUCUUCCUGACUGGUCUGUGCAAACAUUCCUUUUAAAUACUUUGGGUCAUCAUUACUGGAUCUAUUUCAUGCUUCUUGAAUCUACAGCAUGUCAGGCCCUUUCCAGUUUUUAAACCACUCAGAUCCAGGAAGGCUUGCUACUGGGCAAACCAAUGGACCCCAUGAGGCUAAGUCAUCAGAAGCCAGGCAUCUAUCAGCUCACACAUCUCAGAAAAAUAGCCAAGUGCUUACACAGAGCACAUCUGGUUGAAAAAGAAAAGGCAGAGAGAAAAGCAGACUUUUUGGAGAAGUUGUUCUCAGGCACUAACAGAUUCACCCCUUAUAUGCAUAUGAGUGGACAAGAAGAUUCCUUGGAUAUUUUCAUGAUGAAGGAUAAGAGUGAAGCUAUCCUGGCCAAGAACUUUGAGAGAGACAACACUUUUCACUCUGAAGGACCAAAAAAUGAGCAGAAAAUUUGGGAUAAAUGUCAACAACAUUUGAACUAUAAGGAAAAACAAGCAUCUGAGUUAGACAGACCUCCAUAUUCAUUCAACUGGGAAACUAAAACUGUGCAGUCCCAAUAUCAGAAUUUCCUUGGUCAGUUGGCUACUCUUCUGAGUGACAGCAUUGUCUCCAUACCAGCCACAGAGGAGGCUGUGAAAAACAGGAUUCAGAAAAUUGGUGCAAAUGAGAAAUCUUGGAAAUCUAGAACCAAAAGCCUUCAGCAGGAAAUCCAGAUGCUCACUAAACAACUAGAGCAGCUGCAUCAUCUUUAUGAGGAAGUUGCUCAAGAAUCAUCCCAAGCUGAAGAAAAGUGUUGGGAACAAAAAAGACCCUUGAAACGUCAGGAAAGAAAAAUUUCGAUCAAUGACUUUUUUCAAGAGAGAUUAGACUUGUACAGGAAGAAAGACAAAACAAUUGAAAACCUCAGGCAAUCUUUAGCAAAUGUUGAAACAAUGAAAGAGAAGGCAGUUUUGAAAACAGAAAACUUGAAAACUACAUUAGACUCUGCAGAGCAAGAGGCAAGAUCAGACAAAGAGAAGACCCAGCAGAUGUUAGAUGCUGUCACUUCUGAGCCUCCCAGAGCAAAGAGCACACCUGAAGAAAUAUCAGGACAAGAACAAGAGGUUUUUUUAAAAUAAUAAAAUUAAAAUUAAUUUAGUUAAAGUGAUAAACACCACCCCUACUUAGACUGUAACUAACUUAGACAAAAGGGAAUAUUGGCUUAUGGAAUCAAAAAUGAGUUAAACUUUGACUCCAGGAGAGUGGAGUUGUAUCUGGGCUCCAGGAUUAGCACCUGGAACCUACAAGCCUUUUCUCACAGUUUCUUCUUGGCAUCUAUGUGUCAGCUCAUCUGUCUGACUGCCGGUUGGUUUUCUCCGUGACAGGAAACAUGGUCACUGACAACCAUGGAGUUUUAGAUGUAGUUCCUGUGACAGGAGAGAGAAUCCCAAGAAAGGGUCUAAUUGGCCCAGUUUAGGUCAAGUGCUUAUCCCUGCUAAACCCACAGUGGCUAGGGAUGGGAUAUAUGGUUAUUUUAUAUACUCUGACUAACCAGUGACCAGGAGGGUAUAGGUCUAUGAGAUCAUGUGUCAUCAUGUGAAACUCAGAGGAAACCUUGUAUGUUACUUUCUGUGUCACUGUCUAUCAAAAUAGAGUAGAGCUUCUGAACUUGCUUAGAUUUUCACUAUGCUUGUAAAUAUUUUGAGAGAAUUUUGAAAAGGCUAACUGAUCACUUGGGGAAAUUUUAAAGUUAUUAUAUGUCACAUCUCCAUAUAUUAGUUGCUUAGGAAACUUAUACCUUAAGAUAUGCUUAAACAUUAAGUAUAAUAUUAGCAUUUUCUCUUUUUUCUCUCUUUAACUGCUGCAUGUUCACUUUCUUGAUUGUUUCUAUUUCUUUUAUUUUUUGAGACAGUUUCAUUCUGUCGCCCAGUCUGGAGUGCAGUAGCAUGUUCAUGGCUCACUACAGCCUCAAUGUCUUGAGCUAAAGCAGUCCACUCACCUCAGCCUUCCAAAUAGCUGGGGCUACAUGUGUGCCACCACCACACCUGACUAAUUUUUGUGUGUUUUGUAGAGAUAGGGUUUCACCAUGUUGCCCAGGCUGGUCUCAAACUCUUGUGCUCAAGCAAUUCUCCUGCCUUGGCUUCCCAAAGUGCUGGGAUUACAGGUGUGAGCCACAGUGUCCAGCCCCUUAUUUUAUUUUCACCCAAAUCUGUUUUCCUUUGGUUACCUUGUAGUUCACUCUUUACUUUUUAGAUGAUUUUGUGUUUUCUUGCCUGAGUUCGUCUCACAUCUAGAUAUCUUUUUUUCCUUUUCUUUUUUUUUUUAGAGAUGGGGUUUCACCAUGUUGGCUGGGUUGGUCUCAAACUCCUGACCUCAGGCAAGCCGCCCACCUUGGCCUCCCAAAGUGCUGGGAUUAUAGCUGUAACCCACUGCACCCAGCCUUACAUCUAGAUAUCUUGGACAUCUCUUUGUUUAUUUCUAUUCUGAAUUAUUACAUUUCUGAUUCAAAAUAAAGUCCCCCCCCACCAUUUUUGCAAAUCCUUUUAAAAUUUGUAUUUAAUUUUUUUCAGGGUGUUGUGUCAAAUAUGUGUUCUGUGUUUCAUGGCUUUUUUUUUUUUUUUGAGGAUGGAUUUUUGCUGUUAUUGCCCCAGGCCUGGGUGCAGUGGUGCAAUCUCUGCUCACUGCACCAACCACCUUCUGGAUUCAAGCAAUUCUCCUGCCUCAGCCUCCUGAGUAGCUGGGACUACAGGCACCUGCCACUGUGCCCGGCUAACUUUUGUAUUUUUUAGUACAGACGGGAUUUCACCAUGUUGGCCAGGAUGGUCUCGAU
RNAcentral lists this long non-coding RNA (2942 nucleotides) under Aotus nancymaae (Ma's night monkey). RNAcentral describes it as "lncRNA (ENSANAG00000039206.1)". Lineage: Eukaryota; Metazoa; Chordata; Mammalia; Primates; Aotidae. The record is from RNAcentral.